UGCCUGUCCUAAGUUAAUAGCCUAUAAAUUAGUGGUGGUCUUUGUUUAAAUAGUAUAAAUUCAGUUGUUGAUUUUCACAUUUUUGAUGCAGGAGCCUUUUAAUAUAGAUCACUACACUGUGCAGGUUUUGCUCAUUGUUGAAGGCAGAAGGUGACCUUUACAUGUACAUAGUAGUUGCUUGCAUCCACAGACACUUCACUGAUGACUCUCAUUG
This 214-nucleotide long non-coding RNA is filed under the name Mytilus galloprovincialis (Mediterranean mussel). Lineage: Eukaryota; Metazoa; Mollusca; Bivalvia; Mytilida; Mytilidae. The record is from RNAcentral.